Cyprinus carpio carpio is the source of this 711-nucleotide long non-coding RNA. The record is from Ensembl. Lineage: Eukaryota; Metazoa; Chordata; Actinopteri; Cypriniformes; Cyprinidae.
GGAUUAACUUACAGCUCGAGUGGCACAAGCCCUGACUUUUGAAACCAGUUUUAACAGGAGUUAAAGGCACUGCAAAGACCGGGUCUAGCUAAACUGGGAUAGUGCGCCGUUAAGAGACAUCCCCAGGCUUCACAAGCUCUACAUAGCCACUGGACGCCGUUGCCCUUGUUUUCUGGGAAAGUGACACAAAUGCAUAACAGCUGUUGAUUGGCACUGCAUGAUUUAAUUGCCUCCUUAUCCGCUACAAGUUAUUCUGCUCCAGGCUGCGUGAACAAGAAAGGGGAAAUCUAAAAUUCCUUGGAGGAAUGGCACCAUUAAUAAUAACUUGUUUCAAGACUGACUGGUAGUCAUUUUCUAUUAAUAAGUUUGUGUUACUCUAACAAUGUUGUUGCUUAUGUUCAUGUGGUAAUUAAGUUGAAAGUUGGAAGUGACAGCGCCCACUGAGGAACAAUGUUUAUUCAAGUUUGUUUUAAACUGAAGUUAGAAUACUACACGUGACUGAUUGUUGUGCCCACCUACUCUUAAUACUCUGAUUUGUAUUUUUCCCACAUGGCUAAUUACCUCUGACAUGAUUGCACAUAUAAUGUGACAUGCAAGGGCAAGUAAAGGCAGAUCUUUAUUUGUCGUUACUCUGCCUUUCAGAGCAUUAAGGAGUAGCUUCAUAUUGCGGCUUGUUACCUAACUUGGCAACCGCAAGUAUCAAUUUGAUGA